GACGAACCGUGCGAACGUUGUUCGGAAUCACUGGGCUUAAAGGGCGCGUAGGCGGGCCAGCAAGUCAGGGGUGAAAGCCCACGGCUCAACCGUGGAAGUGCCUCUGAUACUGUUGGCCUCGAGGGAGGUAGGGGCGUGCGGAACUUCCGGUGGAGCGGUGAAAUGCGUAGAUAUCGGAAGGAACAUCGGUGGCGAAAGCGGCGCGCUGGACCUCUACUGACGCUGAGGCGCGAAAGCCAGGGGAGCAAAGCGGG
Molecule: ribosomal RNA, 254 nt
Filed under: uncultured bacterium
Lineage: Bacteria
Description: partial 16S ribosomal RNA
Rfam family: Bacterial small subunit ribosomal RNA
Source: RNAcentral